AUUUCUGGUGCCAAUACUGGGUGAUUGUUGCAAUCUUGACGGUCUUUGAAAGAUUCUUCGAUGUGUUCAUUUCAUGGUUGCCAUUGUCUGAUGAGACCAAGCUAGCAUUCUUCAUCUACUUGUGGCACCCAAAAACAAAGGU
This is a long non-coding RNA of Asparagus officinalis (garden asparagus), 142 nucleotides long. RefSeq lists it as uncharacterized. The record is from RefSeq and is a predicted model, not a curated record. The transcript is spliced from 3 exons. NCBI's taxonomy places the organism in Eukaryota, Viridiplantae, Streptophyta, Magnoliopsida, Asparagales, Asparagaceae.